This 253-nucleotide ribosomal RNA is filed under the name uncultured bacterium. RNAcentral describes it as "partial 16S ribosomal RNA". It matches the Rfam family "Bacterial small subunit ribosomal RNA", at positions 524 to 776 of the family's 1533-position model. The record is from RNAcentral.
UACGUAGGGGGCGAGCGUUGUCCGGAAUUAUUGGGCGUAAAGAGCGUGUAGGCGGCCCGGUAAGUCCGCCGUGAAAGCUCGGGGCUCAACCCUGAGUUUGCAGUGGAUACUGUCGGGCUAGAGGAUGGUAGAGGGGAGUGGAAUUCCCGGUGUAGCGGUGAAAUGCGCAGAUAUCGGGAGGAACACCAGUAGCGAAGGCGGCUCCCUGGGCCAUUCCUGACGCUGAGACGCGAAAGCGUGGGGAGCAAACAGG